RNAcentral lists this ribosomal RNA (468 nucleotides) under uncultured bacterium. Its description in RNAcentral is "partial 16S ribosomal RNA". It matches the Rfam family "Bacterial small subunit ribosomal RNA", at positions 28 to 507 of the family's 1533-position model. The record is from RNAcentral.
GACGAACGCUGGCGGCGUGCUUAACACAUGCAAGUCGAACGGAAAGGCCCUGCUUUUGUGGGGUGCUCGAGUGGCGAACGGGUGAGUAACACGUGAGUACCCUGCCCUUGACUUUGGGAUAACUUCAGGAAACUUGGGCUAAUACCGGAUAGGAGCUCCUGCUGCAUGGUGGGGGUUGGAAAGUUUCGGCGGUUGGGGAUGGACUCGCGGCUUAUCAGCGUGUUGGUGGGGUAGUGGCUUACCAAGGCUUUGACCGGUAGCCGGCCUGAGAGGGGGACCAGGGACAAUGGGACUGCGGUAGGGCGCAGUGUGCAACGGGGGGCAGUGGGGGGGAAUAUGACACAGUGAGGGGGAGCCUAAGACGACGGCGCUGCGGGCGGGAUGUCGGCCUGUAGGGUGUGAACAGCUUUCGCCUGUGACGGGGCGGGAAUGACGGUAAUGUAUAAAGAAGCACCGGCUAACUACGUG